AAACCUUUGCAAUGUGCGAAAGCACGACAAGGUUAAUCCGAGUGUCUCCUGCUAAAGGAGUCUUUUGUCAGUUGUAGAAUCACUGGUGAAUAAGGGGUGGGCAAGUUCUGGUGUCAGCCGCCGCGGUAAAACCAGCACCUCGAGUGGUCAGGAGGUUUAUUGGGCCUAAAGCAUCCGUAGCCGGUUGCAUAAGUUUUCGGUUAAAUCUAUGCGCUUAACGUAUAGGCCGCCGAAAAUACUGUGCAGCUAGGGAGUGGGAGAGGUACACGGUACUCGAUAGGAAGGGGUAAAAUCCUUUGAUCUAUUGAAGACCACCUCUGGCGAAGGCGGUGUACCAGAACACGUUCGACGGUGAGGGAUGAAAGCUGGGGGAGCAAACCGGGUUAGAUACCCGGGUAGUCCCAGCUGUAAACGAUGCAGACUCGGUGAUGCAUUGGCUUGUGGCCAAUGCAGUGCCGCAGGGAAGCCGUUAAGUCUGCCGCCUGGGAAGUACGUACGCAAGUAUGAAACUUAAAGGAAUUGGCGGGGGAGCACCACAAGGGGUGAAGCGUGCGGUCAAUUGGAGUCAACG
This 571-nucleotide ribosomal RNA is filed under the name uncultured archaeon. RNAcentral describes it as "bacterial SSU rRNA". It matches the Rfam family "Archaeal small subunit ribosomal RNA", at positions 344 to 917 of the family's 1478-position model. The record is from RNAcentral.